This 465-nucleotide ribosomal RNA is filed under the name uncultured bacterium. RNAcentral describes it as "partial 16S ribosomal RNA". It matches the Rfam family "Bacterial small subunit ribosomal RNA", at positions 28 to 507 of the family's 1533-position model. The record is from RNAcentral.
GACGAACGCUGGCGGCGUGCUUAACACAUGCGAGUCGAACGGAAAGGCCCUGCUUGCCGGGUACUCGAGUGGCGAACGGGUGAGUAACACGUGGGUGAUCUGCCCUGCACUUCGGGAUAAGCCUGGGAAACUGGGUCUAAUACCGGAUAGGAGCCAUUUUUAGUGUGAUGGUUGGAAAGUUUUUUCGGUGUAGGAUGAGCUCGCGGCCUAUCAGCUUGAUGGUGGGGUAAUGGCCUACCAAGGCGGCGACGGGUAGCCGGCCUGAGAGGGUGGACGGCCACAUUGGGACUGAGAUACGGCCCAGACUCCUACGGGAGGCAGCAGUGGGGAAUAUUGCACAAUGGGCGCAAGCCUGAUGCAGCGACGCCGCGUGGGGGAUGACGGCCUUCGGGUUGUAAACGCCUUUCGCUGGGGACGAAGCUUUUUGUGACGGUACCUAGAUAAGAAGCACCGGCUAACUACGUG